Vidua macroura (Pin-tailed whydah) is the source of this 786-nucleotide long non-coding RNA. RefSeq lists it as uncharacterized. The record is from RefSeq and is a predicted model, not a curated record. The transcript has 7 exons. NCBI's taxonomy places the organism in Eukaryota, Metazoa, Chordata, Aves, Passeriformes, Viduidae.
CGAAGGGCUGGGAGCUGAGGUGCCCCGGUCUGAGGUGUUGAGGUCUCAGGACUGAGGGAUGGAAGAGAAGAGGAUCAAUCCCACACAAGUCAUUAUCGCAUUGCAACCUGAGACUGGAAAUGCCUGAGGGCGGGAGGCGUUUCUCCGAGUGGAGCUCAGUCAUCCUGCAGAGCAGGGCACCGGUCCAAGGCUGCGGAAACAGCACAACAAUAACCAACUGCUUUCUGGUUAAGAAAAACAAGAACCCCGUAACAACACAGUACUAAAGGCUGGCAAACCAGAGUUACUGCAGACUGAAGGACUGAUUGGUUUCACAUCCAAAGAAGCAGGAAAAAAAUUACUUCUGGUAAUACUGAAAGGAAUAAGGAAAGUACAAGCCUGGAAAAAGGCUGCACACAUUUACUGACAGAAGACAUAGUAACAAGUACUCAGAGGCUCAUGGAGAUGCUACAAGCUGUUGACUGAAUUUUAGGCCAGUUUAGACAUCACUCCUUCUGCCUUUCCAGAGCCCAUCAAUGUCUCAUUCUAGCUUCCAAGAGCCUGCGCCCAUCUCAAAAUAAAUUGGUCUCAACUUAGUGGAGAGGCUUGGACAUUGUGAAACCCAAAUGAAUGGGCAGCAGAAACUGGAGCCUUGAGAGGGAUCAGCAAAAGGAAACUCAUGCUCCUAUGAAGUGACAUUUUUACAGAGGAACCACGGGAUAGAAAGUUUAUGCCAAUGAUUCAGAAAGAAACUUCAGCAUCUAACUAGUAUCCUUUAGUUUGUAUCCACCAGUUUAUAUUGGGACU